This 978-nucleotide long non-coding RNA is filed under the name Homo sapiens (human). RNAcentral describes it as "HSALNT0076859". The record is from RNAcentral. Lineage: Eukaryota; Metazoa; Chordata; Mammalia; Primates; Hominidae.
CGAGUGAUGAGUCCAAAGAGCGAGGCCGCGCGAGUCCGCUGAACCAGCCUCACUUCUUUACUGGCUGGCUAGCAGGCUACUGCAUUCUCUCUGCAGCUCAUUUUCUCCCUUGGCCUCCAGGCAUACAUCUGUCUUUAACACUGAGAUUAUCUUUCCCUGUGUAUUUUGUUUCUCCUGCCAUAAACGCCUUCAGAAUCUAUACUGUUGGCUCACGUGAGACUCCUUCAUAGCUCCUUGUGACUAUCAUCUUCCCCCCACAAACCCAUUCAUCACCUUAGACUGCAGUUCCAGGGUCUGUUGGACCUUUCUGGUAUUUAGAACUCUGGGGUCCCCACCUUGGUUCGGACUAGAUGUGUGCCUUCUCAUUCUCUUGUAUUUCUUCAUAAAUCUGUGCUCUUUGGCCCUUGUUCUUCCAGCCAACUCUUGGCCAUUCAGCCUAGACCCAGUAGUCAGUCAUUUCAAAGCUAUUCUCUUUAUGUGCCUGGCAUUGCCCACACUGUUGUGUGUGAUAGAUAACAGGCUCAAUACAAUUUAACCCUUGCUUAUAAUCUAACUUUAUAGUCCAGUAACAAUAAACUCACACCCUAAUUAAGUAUAUUUGGAAUAUGCGUUAUUCUCUGUAAAACCAGUUUUUAUAACAGUUUCUUCUAUAGAAAAUUUACUUCAAUCAUUUGCCCACCUUUCUAUAAUUUAGGCUAGGAAUCACUGCUUGGAAUAAACAUCGGUUAGAAUAAACUCGAUUUGAAUGCCGCCCUCUUGAAAGAAAUUAGUGUUGAGUGAGUGGUUUUAAUAAUAGUAUUACUAGCCUUAGCCAUGGGAUAUGCAUGCCAAAGAAUAGAUGCUGAUUAUUCAACAGUCUAUUGUAAUGUUAAUUUACUGAUACAGAAGAUUCUUCCUUUGGAGAACUGUGAAAGCACUUGAUACACAGCACUUUUUAGCUGAAGUUAUGCCAACUCAAAUGAUGCUUCUUAAAAGAGU